Molecule: non-coding RNA, 75 nt
Organism: Chlorobium phaeobacteroides BS1
Lineage: Bacteria; Pseudomonadati; Chlorobiota; Chlorobiia; Chlorobiales; Chlorobiaceae
Source: Rfam
UUGCAAGUGGUGUUCAUGUGGUAUCCUGAAUCCAAGGGACAGGGAUGCGCAAUACCUGAUCCCCACCAUUUGUAU